GUUUUAAUAGUUUAACACAGAACUUUGGUCUUGUAAACCAAGAGUGAAUAUUUUUAUUCUUAAAGCA
RNAcentral lists this transfer RNA (67 nucleotides) under Lophosquilla costata. RNAcentral describes it as "tRNA-Thr". It matches the Rfam family "tRNA". Rfam says of the family: Transfer RNA (tRNA) molecules are approximately 80 nucleotides in length. The record is from RNAcentral. Lineage: Eukaryota; Metazoa; Arthropoda; Malacostraca; Stomatopoda; Squillidae. RNAcentral also lists the same sequence under 1 other name.